This 119-nucleotide ribosomal RNA is filed under the name Anolis carolinensis (green anole). The record is from RNAcentral. Lineage: Eukaryota; Metazoa; Chordata; Lepidosauria; Squamata; Anolidae.
GUACAAAUCCAUACAACCCUGUAUCUACAUAAUUCCAUUUGUUCUUGGAAGCUAAGCAGGGUCAGGCAUGGUUAGUAUAUGGAUGGGAAACCACUAGAAAACACAAGGGGCCUCGAUCU